GACGAACGCUGGCGGCGUGCUUAACACAUGCAAGUCGUACGGUAAGGCCCUUUCGGGGGUACACGAGUGGCGAACGGGUGAGUAACACGUGAGUAACCUGCCCACAACUUUGGGAUAACGCUAGGAAACUGGUGCUAAUACUGGAUAUGUGCUCCUGCUGCAUGGUGGGGGUUGGAAAGCUCCGGCGGUUGUGGAUGGACUCGCGGCCUAUCAGCUUGUUGGUGGGGUAGUGGCCUACCAAGGCGGCGACGGGUAGCCGGCCUGAGAGGGUGACCGGCCACAUUGGGACUGAGAUACAGCCCAGACUCCUACGGGAGGCAGCAGUGGGGAAUAUUGCACAAUGGGCGCAAGCCUGAUGCAGCAACGCCGCGUGCGGGAUGACGGCCUUCGGGUUGUAAACCGCUUUCAGCAGGGACGAAGCUUUUUGUGACGGUACCUGCAGAAGAAGCACCGGCUAACUACGUG
RNAcentral lists this ribosomal RNA (465 nucleotides) under uncultured bacterium. Its description in RNAcentral is "partial 16S ribosomal RNA". It matches the Rfam family "Bacterial small subunit ribosomal RNA", at positions 28 to 507 of the family's 1533-position model. The record is from RNAcentral.